This is a non-coding RNA of Olsenella sp. oral taxon 807, 2938 nucleotides long. NCBI's taxonomy places the organism in Bacteria, Bacillati, Actinomycetota, Coriobacteriia, Coriobacteriales, Atopobiaceae. The record is from Rfam.
AGAGAAGAUGGUAAGCGCACACGGUGGAUGCCUUGGCACAGGAAGCCGACGAAGGACGUGACAAGCUGCGAUAAGCCGCGGUUAGGGGCACAUGCCCGCCAGACCCGCGGAUCUCCGAAUGGGCGAACCCGCCGGGACCAGAGGCCCGGCACCCCGCGCCGAACACAUAGGCGCGGAGGAGGCAACCUGGGGAACUGAAACAUCUCAGUACCCAGAGGAAGAGAAAUCAACCGAGAUUCCCCCAGUAGUGGCGAGCGAACGGGGAAGAGGCCAAACCGGCGGGCGCUUCGGCCCCGCCGGGGUUGUAGGGCCGGUCGUCGCGCAGUGACAAAUCCCCGCGGGAGCGGAACGGCCUGGGAAGGCCGGCGAGACAGGGUUAGAGCCCCGUACGCGAACCCGCAGGGACUGCCGACCGGUUCCUGAGUACCGCCGGACACGUGAAACCCGGUGGGAAGCUGGGGGGACCACCCUCCAAGCCUAAAUACUCUCCUGUGACCGAUAGCGGACGAGUACCGUGAGGGAAAGGUGAAAAGCACCCCGGGAGGGGAGUGAAACAGUACCUGAAACCGUGUGCGUACAAGCAGUCGGAGCGCCCCUCGGGGCGUGACGGCGUGCCUUUUGUAGAAUGAGCCAGCGAGUUACGGUGUGCGGCGAGGUUAAGCUUUGAAGCGAGCCGCAGCGAGAGCGAGUCCCAACCGGGCGCUUGAGUCGCGCGCCGUAGACGCGAAGCCGGGUGAGCUAUCCGUGGGCAGGCUGAAACGGGGGUAAGACCCCGCGGAGGGCCGAACCCACCUAGGUUGAAAACUGGGGGGAUGACCUGCGGAUAGGGGUGAAAGGCCAAUCAAACCCGGAGAUAUCUCGUUCUCCCCGAAAUAGCUUUAGGGCUAGCCCCGGGCGUUUGCCUGCGGAGGUAGAGCACUGAAUGGGUGCGGGGGCCUCACCGCCUACCAAGUCCAAUCAAACUCCGAAUGCCGCAGGCCCAGAGCCCGGGAGUCAGAACAUGUGGGCUAAGCCGUGUGUUCGAGAGGGAAACAGCCCAGACCGCCCGCUAAGGUCCCCAAGUCCGUGCUGAGUGGCAAAGGAUGUGCGUUUGCUCAGACAACCAGGAUGUUGGCUUAGAAGCAGCCACCCAUUCAAAGAGUGCGUAACAGCUCACUGGUCGAGUGGACAUGCGCCGACAAUAUACGGGGCUAAGCACGGUACCGAAGCGGCGGACCCGCGCGCGAGCGCGGGUGGUAGGGGAGCUUUCCGUCCGGGGCGAAGCGAGGGGGCGACCCUUCGUGGACCGGCCGGAAGUGAGAAUGCUGGCAUGAGUAGCGAGAGGGGCGUGAGAAACGCCCCCGCCGUAAACCCAAGGUUUCCUGGGCAAGGCUAAUCCUCCCAGGGUCAGUCGGGUGCUAAGGCGAGGCCGGAAGGCGUAGCCGACGCGCAGCAGGCAGACAUUCCUGCACCCCCGACGCGGCGCCAUCACCGACGGGGUGACGGAGAAGGGUAGCUCAGCGGGGUUCUGGACGUCCCCGUGAGGCCACGUAGGCCGGGCGGCUGUGAAACGCGCCGCCCGCGAGGGCUGAGGUGGCUGACGAAGCGACUGGGUGAAGUGAGUGAGCCCAUGCUCCCGAGAAAAACCCCUAGGGAUGCCGCGCGGGGCCCGUACCGCAAACCGACACAGGUGGGUGGGUAGAACAUACCAAGGCGAUCGGGAGAACUAUGGUUAAGGAACUCGGCAAAACUGCCCCGCAACUUCGGGAGAAGGGGUGCCGCCGCCGGUGGAGGGGCUUGCCCCCCGAGCUGGUGGCGGCCACAGUGAAGAGGUCCAAGCGACUGUUUAUCAAAAACACAGGACUCUGCUGAAGUCGUAAGACGACGCAUAGGGUCUGACGCCUGCCCGGUGCCGGAAGGUCACGAGGAGCCGUCAGCGAGAGCGAAGCGGCGAAUCCAAGCCCCGGUAAACGGCGGCCGUAACUAUAACGGUCCUAAGGUAGCGAAAUUCCUUGUCGGGUAAGUUCCGACCUGCACGAAAGGCGUAACGAUUUGGACGCUGUCUCAACCAUAGACCCGGUGAAAUUGCACUAGUCGUGAAGAUGCGACUUACCCGCGGAAGGACGGAAAGACCCCGUGAACCUUUACUGCAGCUUGACAUUGGCUGCCGGUUCGUCGUGUAGAGGAUAGGUGGGAGACGCCGAACCAGGGACGCCAGUCCCUGGGGAGUCACCCUUGGAAUACCACCCUCGACGUUCUGGCAUCCUAACCCCGCGCCGUGAUCCGGGCGGGGGACCGUGUCAGGUGGGUAGUUUGACUGGGGCGGUCGCCUCCUAAAGAGUAACGGAGGCGCACAAAGGUCUGCUCAGCCUGGUCGGCAACCAGGCCGCUGAGUGCAAGAGCGCAAGCAGGCUCGACUGCGAGGCCCACGAGCCGAGCAGGGACGAAAGUCGGUUCUAGUGAUCCGGCGGCCCAGAGUGGAAUGGCCGUCGCUCAACGGAUAAAAGGUACUCCGGGGAUAACAGGCUGAUCUUCCCCAAGAGUCCACAUCGACGGGAAGGUUUGGCACCUCGAUGUCGGCUCAUCGCAUCCUGGGGCUGGAGCAGGUCCCAAGGGUAUGGCCGUUCGCCAUUUAAAGCGGUACGCGAGCUGGGUUCAGAACGUCGUGAGACAGUUCGGUCCCUAUCCUCCGCGGGCGUAGGAGAACUGAGGGAGGCUGCCCCUAGUACGAGAGGACCGGGGUGGACGGACCUCCGGUGCGCGGGUUGUCGACCAACGGCACCGCCCGGUAGCUGAGUCCGGUUGGGAUAACCGCUGAAAGCAUCUAAGCGGGAAGCCCGUCCCGAGAUGAGUUCUCCCUUCGGUAAGGCCCCUCGUAGACCACGAGGUGAUAGGCCGCAGGUGCAAGCGCCGCGAGGCGCUCAGCCGAGCGGCACUAAUCGGCCGAGCUCUUCUCUUC